RNAcentral lists this ribosomal RNA (253 nucleotides) under uncultured bacterium. RNAcentral describes it as "partial 16S ribosomal RNA". It matches the Rfam family "Bacterial small subunit ribosomal RNA", at positions 524 to 776 of the family's 1533-position model. The record is from RNAcentral. RNAcentral also lists the same sequence under 1 other name.
UACGUAGGGUCCGAGCGUUGUCCGGAAUUAUUGGGCGUAAAGGGCUCGUAGGCGGUUUGUCGCGUCGGGAGUGAAAACACCGGGCUUAACUCGGUGCUUGCUUCCGAUACGGGCAGACUGGAGGUAUGCAGGGGAGAACGGAAUUCCUGGUGUAGCGGUGAAAUGCGCAGAUAUCAGGAGGAACACCGGUGGCGAAGGCGGUUCUCUGGGCAUUACCUGACGCUGAGGAGCGAAAGUGUGGGGAGCGAACAGG